Molecule: ribosomal RNA, 749 nt
Filed under: Capnocytophaga ochracea
Lineage: Bacteria; Pseudomonadati; Bacteroidota; Flavobacteriia; Flavobacteriales; Flavobacteriaceae
Description: bacterial SSU rRNA
Rfam family: Bacterial small subunit ribosomal RNA
Source: RNAcentral
GAUGAACGCUAGCGGCAGGCUAACACAUGCAAGUCGAGGGGGAGGUUACUUUCGGGUAACUGAGACCGGCGUACGGGUGCGUAACGCGUAUACAAUCUGCCUUUCACUGGGGGAUAGCCCGAAGAAAUUUGGAUUAAUACCCCAUAGUAUAGUAGUGUGGCAUCACACAACUAUUAAAGCUUAGGUGGUGAAAGAUGAGUAUGCGUUCUAUUAGCUAGUUGGAGAGGUAACGGCUCCCCAAGGCGAUGAUAGAUAGGGGUUCUGAGAGGGAUGUCCCCCACACUGGUACUGAGAUACGGACCAGACUCCUACGGGAGGCAGCAGUGAGGAAUAUUGGACAAUGGUCGGAAGACUGAUCCAGCCAUGCCGCGUGCAGGAUGACGGCCUUAUGGGUUGUAAACUGCUUUUGUAAGGGAAGAAUAAGGGCUACGCGUAGUUUGAUGACGGUACCUUACGAAUAAGCAUCGGCUAACUCCGUGCCAGCAGCCGCGGUAAUACGGAGGAUGCGAGCGUUAUCCGGAAUCAUUGGGUUUAAAGGGUCUGUAGCCGGGCUUGUAAGUCAGAGGUGAAAGCGCUCAGCUCAACUGAGCAACUGCCUUUGAAACUGUUGGUCUUGAAUGGUUGUGAAGUAGUUGGAAUGUGUAGUGUAGCGGUGAAAUGCUUAGAUAUUACACAGAACACCGAUAGCGAAGCAUAUUACUAACAAUUAAUUGACGCUGAUGGGACGAAAGCGUGGGGGAGCGAACAGG